This 400-nucleotide ribosomal RNA is filed under the name uncultured bacterium. RNAcentral's name for it is "bacterial SSU rRNA". It matches the Rfam family "Bacterial small subunit ribosomal RNA", at positions 355 to 748 of the family's 1533-position model. The record is from RNAcentral.
UCGAGAAUUUUUCACAAUGGGCGAAAGCCUGAUGGAGCGACGCCGCGUGGGGGAUGAAUGGCUUCGGCCCGUAAACCCCUGUCAUUUGCGAACAAACCUUACCGGUUAACAACCGGUGAGCUGAUUGUAGCGAAAGAGGAAGGGACGGCUAACUCUGUGCCAGCAGCCGCGGUAAUACAGAGGUCCCAAGCGUUGUUCGGAUUCACUGGGCGUAAAGGGUGCGUAGGUGGUGAGGUAAGUCGGAUGUGAAAUCUCCGGGCUCAACCCGGAAACUGCAUUGGAAACUGCCUUGCUAGAGGAUUUGAGGGGGGAUUGGAAUACUUGGUGUAGCAGUGAAAUGCGUAGAUAUCAAGUGGAACACCAGUGGCGAAGGCGAAUCCCUGGAAAAUACCUGACACUG